RNAcentral lists this non-coding RNA (193 nucleotides) under Candidatus Eisenbacteria bacterium RBG_16_71_46. RNAcentral's name for it is "6S RNA". It matches the Rfam family "6S / SsrS RNA". From Rfam's summary of the family: E. coli 6S RNA was the first non coding RNA to be sequenced, but its function was unknown until recently. It consists of 184 nucleotides that fold into an extended hairpin structure with a large single-stranded internal bulge. Lineage: Bacteria; Candidatus Eiseniibacteriota. RNAcentral also lists the same sequence under 1 other name. The record is from RNAcentral.
AUUUCCCUGCCGUGCAGGUGAUGCAACGCAGUUCUUGAACCAACAGUCGUGAAAACGGGUGUUCCGGUGGCCGGCGACGUCAUGCCAUCGGCCCGCGAGGGCCGAUGGAGCACCGACCCGGUCGACAGGAGCGCCCACCUGGAUCGCCAGGUCUCAAGAACUAUCGUGCACACGGCAAUUCGGCGGGGAUUCU